GUUAUGCUUGGAUGAGAAGGGAUAUGUUCUGCCUAUGUCUCAGUGGGAUCACACAUACAGGAGGAUUGCACUAUGUUUGGAUGGUGAAAAACGUUUCUGUAGCAACACACAGCACCUGCUGGGGAAGGAAGCCACUAAAAGGAGACACCUCCGCAGGAUGGGCUAUGAGGUGGUGCAGAUCCCUUACUUUGAAUUUGAGAAGCUGACAACUCAGGAGGAACAGGUCCAAUAUCUUCACAACAAGAUCUCUCCCACCA
This is a long non-coding RNA of Anoplopoma fimbria (sablefish), 257 nucleotides long. RefSeq lists it as uncharacterized. The record is from RefSeq and is a predicted model, not a curated record. The transcript has 3 exons. NCBI's taxonomy places the organism in Eukaryota, Metazoa, Chordata, Actinopteri, Perciformes, Anoplopomatidae.